Molecule: ribosomal RNA, 555 nt
Filed under: uncultured bacterium
Lineage: Bacteria
Description: bacterial SSU rRNA
Rfam family: Bacterial small subunit ribosomal RNA
Source: RNAcentral
AGGGGCAGCGGGGGAGUAGCAAUACUCCCGCCCUCGACCGGCGCACGGGUGAGUAACACGUAUGAAACCUGCCCGUAGCAGGGGGAUAAGCGGAAGAAAUUCCGUCUUAUACCGCGUAACAACCCUUGGAGGCAUCUCCUCGGGUUUAAAGGAAGCGAUUCCGGCUACGGAUGGUCAUGCGUCGCAUUAGCUUGUUGGCGGGGUAACGGCCCACCAAGGCGACGAUGCGUAGGGGUUCUGAGAGGAAGGUCCCCCACACUGGUACUGAGACACGGACCAGACUCCUACGGGAGGCAGCAGUGAGGAAUAUUGGUCAAUGGCCGCAGGGCUGAACCAGCCAAGUCGCGUGAGGGAUGACGGUCCUGUGGAUUGUAAACCUCUUUUGUCAGGGAGCAAAGGGCGUCACGUGUGGCGCUUUGCGAGUACCUGAAGAAAAAGCAUCGGCUAACUCCGUGCCAGCAGCCGCGGUAAUAUGGAGGAUGCGAGCGUUAUCCGGAUUUAUUGGGUUUAAAGGGUGCGCAAGCGGAAUGUCCAGUCAGCGGUAAAAUUUCGGGG